GACGAACGCUGGCGGCGUGCUUAACACAUGCCAGUCGAACGGAAAGGCCCUGCUUUUGUGGGGUGCUCGAGUGGCGAACGGGUGAGUAACACGUGAGUAACCUGCCCUUGACUUUGGGAUAACUUCAGGAAACUGGGGCUAAUACCGGAUAGGAGCUCCUGCUCCUUGGUGGGGGUUGGAAAGUUUCGGCGGUUGGGGAUGGACUCGCGGCUUAUCAGCUGGUUGGUGGGGUAGUGGCUUACCAAGGCUUUGACGGUUAGCGGGCAUGGAAGGGUGACCGGCCACAUGGGAAGUGGGGUAGGGCCAAGGCCCCAACGGGAGGAAGGGGUGGGAAAUUGUGCAAAAAGGGCGGAGCGCGGGAGCAAGACGCCCGGGUGGGGAAUGCCGGCUUUGGGGUUGAAAACCGUUUCGGCCGAGGAGAAGGGGGGGGGACGGGAAAGGGGAAAAAAAGCACGGAUAACUUAGGG
RNAcentral lists this ribosomal RNA (467 nucleotides) under uncultured bacterium. RNAcentral's name for it is "partial 16S ribosomal RNA". It matches the Rfam family "Bacterial small subunit ribosomal RNA", at positions 28 to 507 of the family's 1533-position model. The record is from RNAcentral.